AUACUUCUUGGAACUAACCCGCACUUCCUAUUGCUGCAACUUACCCAGGCUGGAUACUGGAGCCUCAGCUAUGUUGAGCUUAAGGGAUAGAUGCACUCUGUUUUAGAAGUUGCCUGUCCCAGUGUUCCUGAAGCAAUACCAUGAUAGAUUGUUUCAACAAUAGCCUUGGUCUUGGGGAGAUCAAUGGGUUUCCCAAGUUCCCCUGAAGCAAGUUCCUGCAUUGCCAUAUACAUGAUGGUACAAUUGUCAUGUAAGGUGAUACUCAGCUCUUUGUAGCUGUAAGUGAGGCUGUUAAACUAUUCUAAGCUGCUGUGGAAGUUUCUGGCUGUGGCCAUGAGAAUGGAUAGGAAAUUCUAGUCUGUGGACUUCCUCUGCACUUACCCAGCUCCUUUUGUAGCAGUAAUUGCUUAAUCAGCAAAGGUCAAGACUUCCAGAUUGAGGGACUGGGAGUUUAAAUAACUUCAUGAACUGGGGAGUGGAGGAUGCUGCAAAGGAAAAGAAGUUCUCCCAUCUCAAGUGACAGUUCAGUGUAUGCCUGCAAUGUGAAUUCACAUACCAGCUGCAUCUCUUGAAGGUUCUGGUUAUGG
Molecule: long non-coding RNA, 587 nt
Organism: Pezoporus occidentalis (night parrot)
Lineage: Eukaryota; Metazoa; Chordata; Aves; Psittaciformes; Psittacidae
Exons: 3
Source: RefSeq, a predicted model, not a curated record